Molecule: long non-coding RNA, 1168 nt
Filed under: Anas platyrhynchos (mallard)
Lineage: Eukaryota; Metazoa; Chordata; Aves; Anseriformes; Anatidae
Description: lncRNA (ENSAPLG00020006838.1)
Source: RNAcentral
GGCGUGUGUCUGAGGGUCUCUAACCAAUUGUAUGAUAGGUUCAGGCACGUGGACAGCGUGUGGGGCUACAGGGAAAGUAUAUGUAGUGGUGAAAAAUGGUAUUAAAGGCCUUCUGUUCAAGAGCCAUCCAUGUCUUUCAUCCCUUCAAAUGGUGACCCUGACGUGAUCAGGAAGAGAGCAGCGCUGAGAGAAGCAUCCGGAGGGACCCCAGCCAAAUGACUCAGGCUGGUGGUGGGACCACGGCUUUGAUCCCGGGACAUCACCUCAGGAAGCAGGUGAGCGGCUGGGGCAUUGACUACAGGAGCUCAUCUAUCAGCCGAGGAGGAGGCGAUAGCUGUUACUGACUCAACUCCUGGUAAAAAGAGGAGUGAAACGUGACCCGCAUAAACUGAAACUACAAAAGAAUGGGGCCCUGUCGAUGGUUUUGGAUGUGUUUGAUUAAAAACUUGGGAGGUUGCUGGGACAGCUCUAUGGGAUGCUGACUCACAGGGAGGUACAACAGCCACUGAGGUGACGACUGACCUGGUGCUUAGCUGACUGAGGCACUGAGAUCAUGGCAAGCGGAAAACAGGGUACAGACAGCAGACACUCAGGCUACGCAGCUCCAAACCCUUCUCUGUGUCUCAAAACCUUAUCUGUUAACUGGCAGCUGCCCAUCCAACACCUGCUAUCACCAAAACCACCAGCAAUGGACUAAACGUCCUGGGAACUCACAAGCCUGAGAGAGGACAAGGACACGGCAGAAGGGGACCAGGGACGACUGAGAGCGUGAAGGCUUCUUGCUGCCCAGGAUAGAGACUAUAAACAUUUAAUCUGCUGCUCUUGAAAGUAUCAGGUGAGCUGUGGUAAGCAGGGGAAGGGAGCCUGCAGUGGUUGUACCUCUCUUGAUACCCACUGGAAAGCUUCUUUUUUGGUUUGACCCUUUUGGCCAACUGAUGCAGGGAGGGGAGAAAGUGGGAAGAGAUCUAUCCUGGUCAAGAGAAUCAAAGGCAUUGGCCUUGUGAAGUCUGAAGUAGAGCAUCACCAGGCUCUGUUCAGACAAGCAGAAUCACUUCUGAAUUCUGCCAAAAUCGGACUUAAUAUAUUUAUAUAUCUGUACCUAUAUGUCUACUUAUAACACUACUAUCUACUUAUAAUGUUGAGAUUUUGGUAUGUAGAUAGAUCUAUC